This is a non-coding RNA of Punica granatum (pomegranate), 1497 nucleotides long. The record is from RefSeq and is a predicted model, not a curated record. NCBI's taxonomy places the organism in Eukaryota, Viridiplantae, Streptophyta, Magnoliopsida, Myrtales, Lythraceae.
CCGAGAAGCUCUACGGCACUUUGCGUCUGAGUUCCUUGGUAUUACCAUUCAGAAUGGGAAGCACAAUCCGGUAGAGGAUGCUCGUGCUGCAAUGAUGCUAUGCCUGAAGAAUUGUAAGAGAUGGGAGAUCAAUAUCAUCAUAAGACCAAAUCAAACUCCAAAAGAAGCAGAAGAAACAGAAGCCAAAGAAGAAACCCAGACAAGACGACGCUUCUUUACAAGACGGUCCUACUUCGACUGCAUAUAUCCUAGCAUAUCUCACGAUUUGACCGAAUUCCAUAUGAUCCGCAGAAGCUGACCAAGCAAAAUUAGUAAACACUGCGAACGGCCUGAUUUUAACAAUUAUUAUCAUUAUUCAUUUGUUUGGAGACCUGAAAGAUGAUGCAGGACCAUCGAAGAAGAGGUCAACUUCUUCUUCGUAUUCUUCUCGCAGUUCUCGUUCCUCACUUGGUGAAGACUUCGAAAAGCUUUCUGAUGGGCUAACAAGUGGCAGCCUCGAUCAACUGUAACACAUUAGAAAGAGAGAGAGACAGAUAUGUUUGGUUACCAUAUCUUCCUCAUCUUCAUAUGCAUCAGAUGCCCUCAAACUACUGGCAUCGGGUAUGAUAACCACCUCAGACUAGCUUGGGUCGUGAGAAUGUCGCAGGUAAUGAAUUCUCUCUCAUCUCGGGUCCUCUUCAGUGUUUUUAAAUAAUUUUUUCUUGAUUCCAUUUACACGUCUGCAGUUUUUCUCUUGAAAACUGGAAACCAGCUCUGAUGUCCUGUUUGUUCUGCAUUUUUCUUGGAGAUUUGAAACCGAGGAUGGGAAAGCUAAGCAUACGUCCUCAGCCACAGGAACAGAAGACACAUGACUAGACUGUCUCUCUGAUCCUUGCCCAUGUUCCUCGGACUACACAGCUGUAACAGCUCUCGUAGUCCCUCGGAACCCAUGAAGAAACCCGAGAAGGAAUCAUCCCAGGAGGUUCUGCUCCGUGUCCCCAACAAAACCUGCCCUCCCGUGGAGAAGAAUAUUGACAGAAGAAAAUCCUCGUCCAAGAAGGCUGUUCAGGAUUGCUUUUCCUCCUCCUCUUCUUCUUCUUCUUCUUCUUCUUCUUCUUGUGAUGACGAUCAAAGUGGUCACCUUCAUUCGCCAUCCUCGGCUGAGAAAACGACUCUCGAGGUGUGGAACGAAGCAGUUAGAGGGAAAGGUUGUGAUGGAAAUGAGAGAGAUCGAGUCAAGGAGGAGAUCCCCGCGUCCCGUUCUUCCAAGGGCUCUGUCUCUACCGCCAAGUACAGGAAGGGAAGAGGUGGGGAUUGAUGAAAGACUACCGACAAACUCUCAUCCUAGAAUGAGCAAAUCCAACAGGCAGGACUCUCUCAACCUCUCCGAUUUCUUGCCACGGCAACACGGUUAAGAGGCAACGCUGCGAUCACGAAUUACUGAACUUUACUGAGCAUAAUAUUUUCAUACUCAGUCAAUGAUAUAUAACACUUUCGGCUGCAGAACAUUUCAUUCUU